AGAUCGGAGGAUGUUUUUAAAAGGAAAAAUCAAAGCAUGUCUGUAGCUUCUGCAUGCCUGUAGUGGGACAAAGAGUCCUAACAGGCCUGGCUGAAGAUGCAGAAGCAGCUUCAAGCCCCAGUGACCAGGGACAGCCAGCACUGAUUCAGAGCCCAGUACCUUGGACUCCCAGUCUUCGACCACCUUGUUCCUCUCCUCGGAGGAGCCAGGCCCCUCCACCGCCGCCCUGCCAUCUCCCUCCUCCUCUUCCUGCGAGCCUCAGGCCUUUUCCCCAGGUCCGCCAGCGCUGCCUCCGCUGUUGCCUCCGCUCCCCGCAGCCUCGGCGCCCCCAGGCCCCGGCGCCUCCCGGCGCACAGGCCGCUACUCAGUCGUCGCCUCCUCCCCGGAGGCCGCCCCGCGUCUGGUCGACUGGCUCCCCGGUUGCCCUUCGACCAUCUCUCCCAGCACACGCGGGGAUGACAAGGAGCGGCCGCCGCCCGUCCUGGCACCGGCCGAGGGCCCGGAAAGGAGCCGCGCCCCGCGCCCCAGCACUGCGGGCAGGGAGGAGGGCACCGUGGACGCGGGUACAUCCCCGCCGCCCCGAGCCCGGCCCGCCGCUGCGGCGAGCUUGGAGGCCCACGUCGGGGACAUCCUGGUGGAGCUGCGGACCAUGAACGGCCACCUGGACAGCAUAGCGCGGGCCCUCACCAAACUGGCUUCGUCCCUGGGGCCCCAGCCUGAGCCCCUGCCAGAUGUUUCGGAUGCCAACUAAUGGAGCUCGGCGAGGCUGGGCCGCCCCGGGGCCGAGGGAUCGCUUGCACCAGGCAUCCCUGCCUGUCCCUCCCCAGCAGCGAAGCGCGCCCAGCGGAGGAGCGGUUGCUCUGCGCAGCUGCCUAGCGGAAAGCACGGCCCUAGCGUUUCAGCGUGAAACAGACCCGGUUGCGCCUCACACCCUCCUCCUCCGCUCUCUCACGGCGGCCCCUGCCCCGGCUUCCUGGCCCUUCACAUGCCCUUCUCUUGUCUUGAGCGUCUAGCAGAAAAAGUGCCUGGAAACGGCGGUGGCACCCUGCGAAGGAUGCUUAGAGAAACACUCUUUCACAUCCCAUUCCUGCGACUUCCGCGUGGCGUGGAGGGAGAGGAGCUCAAAGCAAGUCGCCAAAGCAGCAGCGAGGCCAGCUCCAGCGUUGGUGGGGCAUCCAUCUCUGGUGACGUUCACAAGUUUGUUUGUUUUUAAAAUCGUUUUUGGAAAAAUAUUUUUUUUUCCUCAUAAGCACAUUUCAAGAAGUUUGGAAAAUAGAGAAAUGAAACAAAAUCUGGUGUAUUUGUGGAAAAGGGGGGUAUUUAAGUCUUUCUUAUGAGUAAGAAAGUAUUUUGUGUAAUAAAAAAAAUGUAUAUCCACUUUCUGGGCGUUGGGCUCUCCCUACCACAUUUCUUCCUUUGCACGGCCCCUUUCUCUCUGUGCUUAGUUGCUUGUCCCAGCCCUCCUAUAGUCCUUGAGUUGUUGAACUUUUGUCAUACUUGUGAAGUAUAAGCUUCUUUUUAAAUUUAAUAUACUUUCUUUUUUGUUAAGAGACAGUCUUACUCUGUCACCCAGGCUGGAGUGCAGAGGCGCGAUCUCGGGUCACUGCAGCCUCUACCUCCCAGGCUCAAGUGAUCCUCCCAACACAGGCUCCUGAGUAGCUGGGACUACAGGCAUGAGUCACUGCACCUGACAAGAAUAAGCUUUUAAUGGUUCUUCUGAUUCUUUCCGUAACUCCCAGAUCUUCAUAAAUUUGAUAGACCCACUCUUCUCAUUUGGACUGAGUGGAAACCAAGUUCCAGAGCGACUGGGCAAUAAAUAUGGAGGAAACAGCAUCCCCAGCCUCUACUCACUGCCAGAAUGACCAGCUUCCCCAGUUGAAACAACCAAAAAAUGUUUCCAGACAUCGCCACUGUCCCCUGGUUGAGAUCCACUAACCUAUGUAGAAUUUCAAAAAUUUGGGAUGAUCCACACUCUCCAGAAUCUGGCUUCCCGUAGUGAGGCAGGGCUCUUCUCCUCUUCCUAUUAGAAUUUUAAUAAAGUGUGCUUCUUUGCUAGAAGCAAACAUGCUAUGCUGCUCUUUCUUCAGAAACAAACGAAAAUAUUCAUGCACGGUGGCUCACGCCUGUAAUCCCAGCACUUUGGGAGGCUGAAGCGGGUGGAUCACUUGAGGUCAGGAGUUCCAGGCCAGCCUGACCAACAUGGUGAAACUCUGUCUCUACUAAAAAUACAAAAUUAGCUGGGCAUGGUGGCACAUGCCUGUAAUCCCAACUACUCAGGAGGCUGGAGCAGGAAACUGGCUUGAACCCAGGAGUCGGAGGUCGCAGUGAGCUGAGAUCGUGCCAUUGUACUCCAGCCUGGGCAACAAGAGCAAAACUCUGUCUCAAAAAAAAAAAAAAAAAAAGAAACAAACGAAGGGUCUGAGACCACAUUGCACAAAAUAAAACCCUGUCUGGGAGCACUUAUAGGGCUCACAGCUGGCGUUCUGCGGCUGGUAGAGUUUGUGCACCUCUAGUGCCUCACAGACUUUGAUAAGCAGGAACUACGUGGAGAGCUAGUGAAAAUGCAGAUUCUGAUUCAGAAGUUCUGGAGUGGGGCCUGAGACUCAGCAUUUCUAGACAGCUCCAGGGAGACGCUGAUGCUACUGAUCCAAGACACACUGUGAGUAGCCAGAAAGUAAUGAGGGGUUUUCUGCUCUGGAAUUCCUGCUUAUUUGAGUUGCCACUGCUCCCCAGGAACUUCUGCUUGUCUUUGUACCCCACAGUGCCUAGAUUCCUCAACUCUAACCAAAGCUUUUGGUUUUUGUUUUUUUUUUUUGGCAGAGUGUUAGCUCUGGCCUCCUACUUCUAAAACUGUUCCAGCGAAGUUCAAUCUAAUUCAACAAACAUUUACUGAGUGCUAUAAUGCUGGUGCAUCGGGGGACACAAGAUGAAUAGGAUAAGGAGGAGAAUUGAUGGCCCAAAGUGAAUGUCCUGCCCUGUGAUCUGCCCUUUAGCGGAAGAAACAGCAAAACCGGCAUCAACUAAAGCAACUGGGAACAUCAAGUUUUUAUUCAUUUGUUGAUUUGAACAGUAUUUCAUUCUGAUUUUAACUGACUUCUUUUGCAUUAGAUUAAAAACAACAACAAAAGACUGAAAUCUUUCAAGAACAAAGAGGAGCUGGCCUAUAAAUCCUAAAUACAGAUGUAGUGAUUGAACCCAUCUAGGUAGCUUAUGAAUAUAAAUCUCACCCAAAGUUUCAUCCACACUUAAGAGAUAACCACUGUUAAUAUUUUGGCAACUACUCUUGGAAGUAUUUGUGUCUAAAUACAAAUACCUAUGCGUAUGCAAUUUUACUUAACUGUGAUCAUAGUAGGCCUGCUGUUCUGUAACCUGUUUUUUUUUAAUCUUGAUAAUAGAUGAUAGAAAUCUUUUCAUUUAAAAAGCAAUGUUAUAUAUGAAGUAAAAUUUGCUUAACCAUUUUUUUAUUUAUGCUUCCGAUUUUUCACUAUUACAUGCAAUGCUGUAAUGAAUCUAUCUGAGCAUACAUGUUUUUACUCUUCUGUAAUUAUGUUGUGUAAGUAAAUUCCUAGAGGUAUGAUUGCUGGGUCCAAGGGCAUACACUCCUAACUUCUUUCUUUAGGGCUGUUAUGGCUUCACCAAAGUUCAAAAAGGGGAAGUGAAUGAAUGGUAGGAGGAACACUGGGGUCUCGGGGUGGCUCCAUUUAAAAACUUUGUAAAAGGGAAAUAAAAACAAAGCUAUCUUCUGAAGAUUAAACUUUAAAAUCAGCACACAGCAGGCCAGAAGAGAGAUGUGCAAAACCAUGCUGAAGAGAUGAAUCAUGGUCACUCACAUGGUGUAUGAGUCCGGUCAGGAAACAGAAGCCCUCCUGGUUUUUCACGCUGAGGGGAUCUAAUUGAGGAAUCAGAAACUGGGUGAUGGAAGGACUGGAGGAACAGUGGCAGUCAGGUAAGGUUAUCCGAAGACUAGCGGCUGCAGGAAAGCGCCACCAGCUGUGGGCUGGAGGAGCCAAGGGGGAACGUCUCCUUGGAAACCAGAAUCGGUGUGAUUCCAAGCCAUGGCUGUAGAACUGAGCUGCUUCAGCAGGAAGCCAAGAGCAGCACUGCUAGGCCAAAGCCCCUGACACUGCAGCCACUGCCACUGCCACCCUUGGGUGUCAAUAGCACUGUCACAACUGCCUGAGACACUACCAGAGGCCAGCAGGGAGGAACUAUCCAGGCUUUUGGCAGUGCCUCCUCUUCACAGAACCUCACUGAAAGCCUGUUGGAGGGCGUCUGGGAAAUGCAGCAUGUGGAGGCUCACCCUGCUAUGCUAGAGCAUAGCAAAGAAGGCUGGGAACGCAGCUGACAGCGAGUAGGCAAAUGAUCCGUGCAAGUAGUACUGUGGGUCAAAGCAGUGGGAUAGCUAAAGAGAGCAACUGUCAGUCAGAGGAAGGGCAUCGCAGCCAUGGAGGCACUGAAGAUGGGGCGUCACAGAGUGACAUGGGCAGUGCUUAUGCCAGCAGAGGUGGGCUUGGCUCUCUGGAGCUAGCCACAGGAAGAACCCUGUGGUGACCGCCGCCCCUUGGCUCUCAGUCUAUGCCACGAGAACAUGCUGUGGGAGACUGGCCCACAGAAGUGGCUCUGCUGCAGAGCACAGACAGAUGGGGUUUCUGAACCUUCUUGGUGGACUGCUAGGCCCUGGGCAAGGGCAGGCUAACCAGUGUGCAUUGCCAUUCUGGGAGACAGGAAGCCAGCCUGCCCAUAAGGCAGAUAAGUCUUAAUAUUUUUGUGCUGCUAUAACAAAAUACCUGAGACUGGGCAAUUUAUAAACAACAGAAAUUUAUUUCCUCACAGUUCUGGGGGCUGGGAAGAUCGAGGAACCUGCAUGUUCAGUGUCUGGUAAGGACUUAGUCUCUCCUUCCAAGAUGACACCCCUUGUUGCAUCCUCACAUGGCAGAAGGUGAAAGGGCACAAGGAGAAACAUCUUGCCAAUUCCCUCUAGCCCAUUAUAAGGGCAGAGCCCUCAUGGCUUAAUCACUUCCCAGAAGGCCCCACCUCUUAAUACUAUCACAUGGAGUCUUAGGUUCCAAUAUAUGGAUUUUGGAGACACAGACGUUCUAAUCAUAGCCACAUACCUCCCAGGGACUGGCCCUUGGCCGUCUUCCUUUACCAAAAGGACAUCUGCACAAGUGUUUAUUGGGUUCCUAUCAGGUCCUGGCCUUGUGCUAUGUGCUCUACAUAUAGGAUCUCAUUUAUUCCUUUCAGUAACCCUGUGUGCAAGGUUAGGAGGUAGGGCCUAUCACUCCCAUUUCACUGAUCAGGAAACUGAGGCACAAAAAGGUCAAGUGACUUGCCCAUGGUCACAUAGCUGGUACCGAACGGAGACAGGAUCUGUUUGUCUCCAGGGCUCUGGCUGUACCACCACCUGGGGCUGCCUCUCCCGUUAGACUUCCUCUUGGUAGCAGGUCAAAGCCCUGGAACUGUUGAGCCGCCUUUGGCUAGUGGGUCUCCCGCCGGGUGGCAGCAAAGUUGCUCUCUGGAAGCACUAGGUCUCUGAAAAAUAAGAAAAUGCCAGGAAACUAGAGCAGAAAGCUGGAAAACAAGGAACCUUACCAAUACCCUCAUCCCCCAUCAGCCACAGCAUCAGUGUCGUGUGGGGAGGGAGAAAGGAGGUGCUGAAGGAGAGGACAAGGUGCAGGAAAGAGGAGGAGAGAAGCCGGUGGGCUGUCCAACGUGAUGGCUCUGAAGCACCAGUGGCUCCUAGGCCCUUUAAGGUCAAUGUGAUUAAUCACGUUCCAUGUACAAGGUGACUUGGCUGUUACUGUAUGUUAUCACCCUCCUCUCUCGUCCCCUUAGAUCAUCUGACUUCAACAACCAACUCUGCAUGAGAACUAGAAAAUGCAAGGAUUUCUAUAGGUCUCUAUGGUGACUGUAUUAGUAUCCCAAGGUCCAAGGGCAUUUGCUACCAAAUUAUCAUUAUUAUUAUUUUUUUUUAUAAUUGUGAAGCUUUUUUUUUUAUUAUACUUUAAGUUUUAGGGUACAUGUGCACCUUGUGCAGGUUAGUUACAUAUGUAUACAUGUGCCAUGCUGGUGCGCUACACCCACUAACUCGUCAUCUGGCAUUAGGUAUAUCUCCCAAUGCUAUCCCUCCCCCCUCCCCCCACCCCACCACAGUCCCCAGAGUAUGAUAUUCCCCUUCCUGUGUCCAUGUGAUCUCAAUGUUCAAUUCCCACCUAUGAGUGAGAAUAUGUGGUGUUUGGUUUUUUGUUCUUGCGAUAGUUUACUGAGAAUGAUGAUUUCCAAUUUCAUCCAUGUCCCUACAAAGGACAUGAACUCAUCAUUUUUUAUGGCUGCAUAGUAUUCCAUGGUGUAUAUGUGCCACAUUUUCUUAAUCCAGUCUAUCAUUGUUGGACAUCUGGGUUGGUUCCAAGUCUUUGCUGUUGUGAAUAAUGCCGCAAUAAACAUACAUGUGCAUGUGU
This 6458-nucleotide long non-coding RNA is filed under the name Homo sapiens (human). Its description in RNAcentral is "Runx2 associated intergenic non-coding RNA isoform 004". Lineage: Eukaryota; Metazoa; Chordata; Mammalia; Primates; Hominidae. The record is from RNAcentral.